Molecule: long non-coding RNA, 1191 nt
Filed under: Felis catus (domestic cat)
Lineage: Eukaryota; Metazoa; Chordata; Mammalia; Carnivora; Felidae
Description: lncRNA (ENSFCAG00000047283.1)
Source: RNAcentral
GUUCGUUUUUAUUAUGAGAAUGCGUGGUACACCUCAGCACCCACAAAACAAAAAACAAUCUGGAUUAUUUUCUAGGGGAAGAAAAGUAAAACUGACUCAAGAAGAAGUAGAAAUAACCAUCAGAAGUUGGCAAGAUGGACGAGUCUAUCCAUAAAAAUGGCACCAGGCCCAGAUGGCCUUCAGGCACGUGCAGCCACAUUCUCACGGAGCAGAUACGGAGACCCCUCCAAGCGCAGAAGGAAAACGCACGUAGAGCCUUCAUCAUGUCAAUCAGCGAUUCAGUGACGCGAAGAACUCCCACAAUGCCUUGCAACCGUGACCACCGACACAGCGUUUUGGAACGUUGGACUGCAGCACAAGACGCACGUCCAAAACCACGCCUGUGUCAGCGGCUGCAUUACAGAUCCUCGCGCAACGAGCGCGCCAACAGCCGGCUCACCAAGCCACCCGUCUGCCUGCCGCCCCGGGCCUGCCGUCCUUUUCUGGCCUUGCGCAGUGCUCCCUCCCGGGCGGCCGUGCAGGGGGCGGUAACUUGGCCUCACGCUGACGUCAACGACGCCGCUUAACGUCUCGCACGACGGAGGUGGGCAAGCACUAGGGUUGGCGACCGGGGUGCCUCCGCGUCUCCCAGACCUGGGGGCGCGUGCCGGGACUCACAGGAGAGGUGCGGAAGGGCCGGGUCUGCCCCCAGGCUGGGCGAGGCUGCUGCUGGAUGCAGGCUCCCCACCCCGACUGGGCAGGAUGCAGGGGGAGAACGGAGCACCUCCUCAGAGAGCACUCCGCCUGUCCUGGAGUCCGGCAGCACAUGUCCGUUUGCAUGCGUCGUGCACAACCGGACCUACGCCCACCCCGCCCGGAUCCAGCUCCAGCAGCAGAGUCCCCGAGAUCGGCCUGGGCUCUUCUUGGCACCUGGUGGUCUGUGGACCCCUUCUCCGAAUCAGGUUUUAACGUACAGGUUUUAACAUAACGGGGGCGCCUGGGUGCCCCAGUCGGUUGAGCAUCCGACUUCGGCUCAGGUCAUGAUCUCACAGUUCGUGAGUUCGAGCCCCGCGUGGGGCUCUGUGCUGACAGCUCGGAGCUUGGAGCCUGUUUUGGAUUCUGUGUCUCUCUCUCUCUCUGCCCCUCCCCCGCCCACACUCUGUUUCUCUUUCUCUCAAAAAGAAAUAAACAUUAAAAAAAUUAAAAUGAACA